AGCAGCGUGGCUCAGUGGAAAGAGCCCGGGCUUGGGAGUCAGAGGUCAUGGGUUCAAAUCCCGCCUCUGCCA
Molecule: transfer RNA, 72 nt
Filed under: Ornithorhynchus anatinus (platypus)
Lineage: Eukaryota; Metazoa; Chordata; Mammalia; Monotremata; Ornithorhynchidae
Rfam family: tRNA
About the family: Transfer RNA (tRNA) molecules are approximately 80 nucleotides in length. Their secondary structure includes four short double-helical elements and three loops (D, anti-codon, and T loops).
Source: Rfam by way of RNAcentral